GCGACCCCAGGACGGGCGAGACCACCCGCCAAGUUUAAGCAUAUCAAUAAGCGGAGGA
RNAcentral lists this ribosomal RNA (58 nucleotides) under Doritis pulcherrima x Phalaenopsis equestris. RNAcentral's name for it is "partial 25S ribosomal RNA". Lineage: Eukaryota; Viridiplantae; Streptophyta; Magnoliopsida; Asparagales; Orchidaceae. The record is from RNAcentral.